AGAGUUUGAUCAUGGCUCAGGAUGAACGCUGGCGGCGUGCCUAAUACAUGCAAGUCGAACGAGGCCCUCACCUUCGGGUGAGGUGUCCUAGUGGCGAACGGGUGAGUAACACGUUGGUGACCUACCCCGAAGAGGGGGACAACCCCGGGAAACUGGGGCUAAUACCCCAUGUGAUCCAGAGCGCUAGAGGGCUCUGGAUGAAAUGGAGCAAUCCGCUUCGGGAGGGGCCUGCGGCCUAUCAGCUAGUUGGUGGGGUAACGGCCUACCAAGGCGACGACGGGUAGGGGGCCUGAGAGGGUGGCCCCCCACACUGGAACUGAAACACGGACCAGACACCUACGGGUGGCAGCAGUAGGGAAUAUUGCCCAAUGGACGAAAGUCUGAGGCAGCAACGCCGCGUGCGCGAUGAAGGCCUUCGGGUUGUAAAGCGCUUUUCUGGGGGACGAGAAAGGACGGUACCCCAGGAAUAAGUCUCGGCUAACUACGUGCCAGCAGCCGCGGUAAAACGUAGGAGGCAAGCGUUAUCCGGAUUUACUGGGCGUAAAGCGCGUGCAGGCGGCUUGGUAAGUCGGACGUGAAAGCUCCCGGCUCAACUGGGAGAGGCCGUUCGAAGCUACCAGGCUAGAGGGCAGCAGAGGGAGGUGGAAUUCCGGGUGUAGCGGUGAAAUGCGUAGAUAUCCGGAGGAACACCAGUGGCGAAAGCGGCCUCCUGGACUGUCCCUGACGCUAAGACGCGAAAGCUAGGGGAGCGAACGGGAUUAGAAACCCCGGUAGUCCUAGCCGUAAACGACGCAGACUUGGUGUUGGUGGUCUAAACCCCAUCAGUGCCGAAGCUAACGCGGUAAGUCUGCCGCCUGGGGACUACGAUCGCAAGGUUAAAACUCAAAUGAAUUGACGG
This 898-nucleotide ribosomal RNA is filed under the name uncultured bacterium. Its description in RNAcentral is "bacterial SSU rRNA". It matches the Rfam family "Bacterial small subunit ribosomal RNA", at positions 8 to 916 of the family's 1533-position model. The record is from RNAcentral.